CAAUCGGCCCUUUUCAGGGCCACCAUAUUCAUUCAACGUAGACAAA
Non-coding RNA from Trichomalopsis sarcophagae, 46 nucleotides. Lineage: Eukaryota; Metazoa; Arthropoda; Insecta; Hymenoptera; Pteromalidae. The record is from Rfam.